Molecule: long non-coding RNA, 911 nt
Organism: Carassius gibelio (silver crucian carp)
Lineage: Eukaryota; Metazoa; Chordata; Actinopteri; Cypriniformes; Cyprinidae
Exons: 2
Source: RefSeq, a predicted model, not a curated record
GCCGAUCUAAUGCAUGUAAAACACAAAGACAAAUGGAUGUUUAACACAUGAAAUCUGCACAAAAUCACCUGGAGAAAUGAUUCCUGUUGUCUGAAGUAGAAGCCAUGUCUGAUUUCCUCACUAUUCAGAAGAACUACAUUACCCAUAAUCCUGAAGAAAAAUGCACCAAUCAGAGAAGUCAUUGUUACCAUGGAAACGAGAAUCAAGGCCCCAACAUUUAUUUUAGCUCUAUUCAGCAGAAGUCUCGCCUUGAAGUCUGAGGAGCGGCUGUUUGGUUUUCCCAGUCCCAAAAGGUCAUAAGGUCACGGAGUUCACUCCGGCCGUGUCUGGUACAGAAGCUCCGCCCACUACAGCUGCACUGGAGCUCCGCCAACUCUCUUUUCCCUUUCUUGAUCUUUCUCGCUCUUUCCUUCUCCUUUCGUUCUCCUUUGGCUAUGCUCUGUUUCUCUCUUUCGUUUCCAUUGUCCAGUCUUUCUUUGUACACUGAUUGUAUUCUCCUCGUCUUCUCUCUACUGCUCAUGCUGUUCUUGCCUUCAUCAGUGUCUUUCAUCCAUUCUCUGUCUCCUGAAACGCUCACUUGUUUCAUUUGGAAACAGAUGGAUGCCUUAUUGAAGGAGAUGGAGAGAAAGACAGCAGCUCGGUUCCAAAACCUAGUGCGCUCCCUCAUAGCUCACGGCCUUCUAAGGGAGCAUCCUAGCUGUCAUGGUUCCUCAAUAGGGAUCUGUUUGGAACGCUCUACACAGGCAGCAAUUUUGUGCGCCACAAGAAAAUCAGCUUGUAAUUUAUUCCAAUUUGAUACUUGCAUGCUGGUAUGUUCAUAACUUUGAGAAAAUAGUUGCUAUUUUGUAAUUGUGAGACACAAACUUGAAAUUCUGGAAAUAAACUUUAAUAGCAUUAUCUAAGAUGCAUAA